GAGUAACUUCUUACGGGGACUGGCUCUCAAAGAGGCGCACGAGAAAGAGCAAUAACCGGUCUGUGAUGCCCUACGAUGUCCGGCGCCGCACGCGUGCUACAAUGACGAUGCUAGUGAGCAUGAUUAACUUGCCCGAAAGGGUAGGUAAAACUGUUCAAUCAUCGUCGUGACUGGAAUUGGGGUUUGCAAUUAUCCCCCAUGAACCAGGAAUUCCUAGUAAGCACAAGUCAUAAGCUUGUGCUGAUUACGUCCCUGCCCUUUGUACACACCGCCCGUCGCUACUACCGAUUGAAUGGCUUAGCAAGGUCAUUGGAUUGAGUUCUUGCAGUUCACCCUGCUUGGAUUCGAGAAGAUGCCCGAACUUGGUCAUUUAGAGGAAGUAAAAGUCGUAACAAGGUUUCCGUAGGUGAACCUGCGGAAGGAUCAUUA
RNAcentral lists this ribosomal RNA (429 nucleotides) under Cichlidogyrus halli. Its description in RNAcentral is "SSU rRNA". It matches the Rfam family "Eukaryotic small subunit ribosomal RNA", at positions 1401 to 1831 of the family's 1831-position model. Lineage: Eukaryota; Metazoa; Platyhelminthes; Monogenea; Dactylogyridea; Ancyrocephalidae. The record is from RNAcentral.